RNAcentral lists this transfer RNA (67 nucleotides) under Cyphoderus albinus. RNAcentral describes it as "tRNA-Tyr". It matches the Rfam family "tRNA". Rfam says of the family: Transfer RNA (tRNA) molecules are approximately 80 nucleotides in length. Their secondary structure includes four short double-helical elements and three loops (D, anti-codon, and T loops). Lineage: Eukaryota; Metazoa; Arthropoda; Collembola; Entomobryomorpha; Paronellidae. The record is from RNAcentral.
GAUAAGGUGGCUGAAAAUAAAGGUGUUAGACUGUAAAUUUAAUUAUAAGAAUUAUUCUUUUUUAUCA